This is a non-coding RNA of Pelobates cultripes (western spadefoot toad), 236 nucleotides long. The record is from the annotation of a GenBank genome assembly. Lineage: Eukaryota; Metazoa; Chordata; Amphibia; Anura; Pelobatidae.
UAGGAUUUCCAUGAUUCUUGCCAGUCUUAGAGCUCUUCGUGUAACAAGUAAAUUGUAGUUUCAUAAAAGAUUGAGGGGCUACGUAAGUCCCUGAAUUUUUAUACCUGUUCUCACUUGAUUAGAAAUCUUGUACAUAUUUUCAUACCUUCUCAAACUGAGACUCCUGCAUAGCAUUAAAACACAGCUGUGAUUGCUAUCAGCCCAAUGUGACAAUUCAUUGGCAAUCUUGCUGCUAC